AGAAUUAAACCUUCUUGUUUUUGAGAAUUAAACUUUCUAGUUGUAAGCUCAGAACCACACACAAGACUCGAAAUGAGAGAGGAGAGGGAAGAGCGCAAAUGGGGAAGCCCUCUCUCUCACUCGGAUUGACAAUCUUCGUCUCCCUCUCUCUCACAGCCUCCUCCUACUCCAUCUCAUCCUCUUCUUCAUGUUCCCCAAUCUUUCUCAAACCAUCUUCACCAUCAACAUCUCCCAAAGCCACCCCUUCAGACCUGCUCUCUUUGCUGGGCUCCAAAUCCCAGUCUUCAACCAUUAACCCACUUGUAGCCCAAGAGCUGUCUUCUUGCUUCAAAUUCCUCGUACCCUUUACGCCAAAUGUCAACAAAUUGUGCCAACAAAAGUAUCCCAAUAGAAAAGUCUUAAACUUGAAGCAAAAGGGUGAUUUAUGUCAACGGGAGGAGGAGGAUGAGCUUGUUUGGUGGCCUCCUCAGCCGGUUUUGGAGCUUGCUCGCCUCGCUGUUGACUCUGGUGGAGACCCAGCUGCUAUUCAACGUGCUUUGGAUCCCACGAUGAUCACUGUACCUGAUGUUGAAGGAUCAAAAGUGAACCGAUGUGAGCUUACUAGAACUCCAUAUGGGAGACGCUUCAUAAGUGAGGAGUUGAAUUCAUAUCUUGAAUUUUUAUUUGAACUUAUUCUAGCUCGGGGUCCCGCCGUUGGGUUGAAUGUGUCGUUGAGUCGCUAUGAUUUAUUCCAUGGCCACCUUUUUCUUGCCAUAGACACCGGAAGACUUGGUAUAUUAUUCCAUGCCAAAGAAUACCCUGCAUAUGAUAAAGAAGUAUUUCCAUAUAAUAUGGGCUACUGUCAAGUAGGGUCUAAUGUGAGAUAUGAUGAUUCAAUGAACUUGCGAAAUAUCCUCUGGCUGGCUCCAUUGCCAAGCAAUUCAACUAAAGCUUGGGUAGCACCAGGUGUCCUUGUAGCGCUGGAUGCCCAUCCAGAAGGCAUCAUAUAUAGAGAUCUCAUACCUGAAUAUGUAAAUUUUGCUAGGACAAUAUAUGAAGACGAUCUUGGGGAAGUUGCAGUUGAUGUCAACUAUUUGGAUGUGGGAAAUGCAAAGUCGAAGUUCCAACUUUUUAUAUGCUGAUGCUCUUUUCAAGGUUUGUACCAUAUGCUUUCUCUUCAUCGCCUAGUCUAUUAUGCAACAAUGCCAAGUAACCAUUUAUUUAUCAUGGAUCAACCUCAAAUGCGAUAUGAGCCAAAUAUAAAGUCUCAAGUAGGCUGGCCAGGAUAUGAUUCCUUUGGUUCGAUUGUGGAAAGUAAGAUCCAAGGGUACACAGGAGAUGCGCUGGUUUGUUCUUGCUGCAGAUUUCGCUAGGCAUGCAAGCCUAAUUUGCCAGUGUCAGUGCAAGUGUGGCUGUGCUGUUUCCCCUUUACUUCUGUUCCUAAGUGUGGAGCUCUGCAGAUGAACUCACCAAUUCAUUGUUUCUAAAUCAUCAUUUCUUCCCC
Molecule: RNA transcript, 1483 nt
Organism: Prunus avium (sweet cherry)
Lineage: Eukaryota; Viridiplantae; Streptophyta; Magnoliopsida; Rosales; Rosaceae
Gene name: T-box protein
Source: RefSeq, a predicted model, not a curated record